UACGGGAGGGGCAAGCGUUAUUCGGAAUGACUGGGCGUAAAGGGCAUGUAGGCGGUUUAGUGAAUGUUAGUUAAUAAAUUCUGGGGCAUAACUCUUAACAGUUUUUCUAAAACAGCUAAACUUAUGAGUAUAUCAGAAGAUACUAAAAAUGUUUAAUGUAGCAGCAAUAUGCGCUUAUAUUAAAUGGAAUGCCAAAGCGAAAGCAGGUAUCUAUGUUAUUACUGACGCUGAGAUGCGAAAGUGUGGGGAUCAAAUCGG
Molecule: ribosomal RNA, 258 nt
Filed under: uncultured bacterium
Lineage: Bacteria
Description: partial 16S ribosomal RNA
Rfam family: Bacterial small subunit ribosomal RNA
Source: RNAcentral